Dreissena polymorpha is the source of this 1215-nucleotide long non-coding RNA. RefSeq lists it as uncharacterized. The transcript has 4 exons. The record is from RefSeq and is a predicted model, not a curated record. Lineage: Eukaryota; Metazoa; Mollusca; Bivalvia; Myida; Dreissenidae.
UUUUUCCUUGUACAUAAAAAUUAUAAUAAUAAUAAUAAUAAUAAUAAAAAUCAUUAUCAUCAUCAUCAUCAUCAUCAUCAUCAUCAUCAUCAUCAUCAUCAUCAUCAUCAUCAUCAUCAUCAUCAUCAUCAUCAUCAUCAUCAUCAUCAUCAUCACCACCAUCACCACCACCACCACCACCACCAUCAUCCUCCUUCCCCUCCUCCUCCUCCUCAUCAUCAUCAUCGUCGUCGUCGUCUUCAUCAUCACCUUCUCCAUCAUCAUCAUCACCAUCAUCAUCAUCAUCAUCAUCACAAGAAACACCAGCGGUUUGUAUAUUUGGAUUAUUGUUUAUUGAUGAGGAACAUGACAAUCACUAUUUAUUUAAUACAGAUACAAAUACAGAAAAAUGUGUGCAAAUUAUGUAUUACUUGCAAGAAUGCAUUAUUUAUAUAUUUACAUAAAAUGCACAAACAAGGUUUAUAUGAAGUAGCUGGAGUGCUCAUCGACGACGUCACAAACCGAAUGUGCUGCGGUUUGCUGGUUGUCCAGGCCAAUAUCCAGAAAACCAAUUUGUCGCAAAGAUAGACUUGAGCUCGAAACAGUACUUUAGGAACUGAUCGGUCGUGUAUUCAACUAAUCAGCAAUAAUACAUGGAGUCCAUUCAACUGUUCGGAACCUAGAGAUGCGAACACCGUCUACGCAUGUGAGCUAAAAUAUUCGGCGAACUGGCCUGUUGGAUUUUACGAACAUAUUACGUGGACCGAACAUGCAAACACAUCUUCUGAAAUACCGGAACAUACAACAAAAGGUUCGGCCUUCAUUCCUCGUCAGUGGUGUCGGGUGGUUCGGCGACUGAUUGAGCGUCACCUGCCUCCAUACGACCUCUAGUGUCUGGCGGUGUUGCAUCAGGAUCAGGAGCUAAAACUAUCGCAAAACCUCCUCCAGACCAUGUCAGUGUUACAUCUGGGCUGGCUUCGCAUUCCGAAGCCCUUGUUCAACACCAAACUACUGCAACUGUUAAGGAAACUUCAAGUGAAGGAAAUCAAAACGUGGCAUGUCAGUUCAACGUCCAGGUCAUCUUGCUCAUGAUAUUGACGACAAUGCCGACGGUGUGCUUAUAAGCAGUCAUGUUCAAGGUUUAUUGCCGGACUUUGCGAUUCAUUUCGUCCAUGUGUAUAAAAAGAACAUUUGAUUUACACCUUCGAGGUUUUAUUUUGUAAAAGCUUAUAGUUA